UACGUAGGCGGUUUGUUAAGUUUGGCGUUAAAUCACGGGGCUCAACCCCGUUCAGCGUUGAAAACUGGCAAACUUGAGUAGUAGAGGGGACAGUGGAAUUCCUAGUGUAGCGGUGAAAUGCGUAGAGAUUAGGAAGAAUACCGGUGGCGAAGGCGACUGUCUGGAUACAUACUGACGCUCAGGUACGAAAGCGUGGGGAGCAAACA
RNAcentral lists this ribosomal RNA (206 nucleotides) under uncultured bacterium. Its description in RNAcentral is "partial 16S ribosomal RNA". It matches the Rfam family "Bacterial small subunit ribosomal RNA", at positions 568 to 774 of the family's 1533-position model. The record is from RNAcentral.